RNAcentral lists this ribosomal RNA (444 nucleotides) under uncultured bacterium. RNAcentral describes it as "bacterial SSU rRNA". It matches the Rfam family "Bacterial small subunit ribosomal RNA", at positions 37 to 472 of the family's 1533-position model. The record is from RNAcentral.
ACGGCCGCGGGAAUUAGAUUCAGUCCUAACACAUGCAAGUCGAGCGGUAACAGGUUAAGCUGACGAGUGGAGAACGGGUGAGUAAUGCAUUGGAACGUGCCCGGUCGUGGGGGAUAACGCAGCGAAAGCUGCGCUAAUACCGCAUACGAUCUGAGGAUGAAAGCGGGGGACCGUAAGGCCUCGCGCGAUCGGAGCGGCCGAUGUCAGAUUAGGUAGUUGGUGGGGUAAAGGCUCACCAAGCCAACGAUCUGUAGCUGGUCUGAGAGGACGACCAGCCACACUGGGACUGGGACACGGCCCAGACUCCUACGGGAGGCAGCAGUGGGGAAUUUUGGACAAUGGGCGAAAGCCUGAUCCAGCAAAGGCGCGUGCAGGAAGAAGUCCUUCGGGUUGUAACCUGUAUGGCUUCGUAGCGAAAAGAUCCCCUUUAAUACAGGGGGUUCA